ACUACAAACCGGGUUAUCGCUUCCUGGUCUUGAUUGGGAGGAGGAAAGUCCGGACAGCAUAGAGCAAUGUACCGGUGAAGAGCCGGGUCCUGGUAAAACGGGAACAGACAGUGCCACAGAAAAUAACUACCGCCAUGAUUCGUGUAUCACGAACCAUAGUGGCAAAGGUGAAAACGUAGGGUAAGAGCCUACGGUGCUGUACAGUAAUGUAUGGCAGGGGUAAACCUUACAUGCUGAAAUGCCAUGUAUACCAACGGCGGAGGGCUGCUCGUCCGAUUAUCGCAAGAUGACCGUUGGGUGGGUAGGCAGCAAGAGCCUGUCAGUAAUGCCAGGCCCAGAUAAAUGAUAACCGUAUCUGUCUAACGACGGGUAAACAGAAUCCGGCUUACAGGUUUGUAGUUAUU
Molecule: RNase P RNA, 404 nt
Filed under: Niastella sp.
Lineage: Bacteria; Pseudomonadati; Bacteroidota; Chitinophagia; Chitinophagales; Chitinophagaceae
Description: RNase P RNA component class A
Rfam family: Bacterial RNase P class A
About the family: Ribonuclease P (RNase P) is a ubiquitous endoribonuclease, found in archaea, bacteria and eukarya as well as chloroplasts and mitochondria. Its best characterised activity is the generation of mature 5'-ends of tRNAs by cleaving the 5'-leader elements of precursor-tRNAs.
Source: RNAcentral